UUCAGAUGUGAAAGACCCGGGGCGUCAACCUCCGGAAUAGCAUUUGAAACUAGGCAGACUAGAGUACUGUAGAGGGGGGUAGGAAGUUUCAGGUGUAGCGGUGAAAUAGCGUAGAGAUCUGAAGGAAUACCGGUGGCGAAGGCGGCCCCCUCGGACAGAUACUGACACUCAGAUGCGAAAGCGUGGGGAGCAAACAGGAUUAGAUACCCUGGUAG
This 215-nucleotide ribosomal RNA is filed under the name uncultured bacterium. RNAcentral's name for it is "partial 16S ribosomal RNA". It matches the Rfam family "Bacterial small subunit ribosomal RNA", at positions 587 to 793 of the family's 1533-position model. The record is from RNAcentral.